CGCUUGGAAGAUUCAAAAUAUAUGUGCAAGGAUAGCAUGAGAGAAUGCACUGAUUCAUGAUGAGAAGUAAGGAGGACUAAAAGAAUGCCAAAUUUGCAAGACAUCUAGAUAACUGGGGCCUCUCGGACCCCGAGAACUGGAUCAAACCAACCUUGCAGUUUGGACUGAGACCAAGGGCUCGGAGAGCAUGCGUAAGAAGAAAAGGUUAAAAAGUUCAGCUCUGAUGAAGACAUCUUACUUCAUCCCAACGACCACCCGGACAACCACCAGAGAGUGAUACGCAAGCGUAGAAGGACUGAUAAGAUAAUUAGCAUACGAAGCGGGGCUAGGUGGAGCUAGGAAAUGGACAUGCAUAGAUGUGUUGUGAAACUUAAUGCAUAUGUAAUAUUUUAGGAGAUGAGUGAACAAAUCGGACGAAGUUAGAUUUGGGCAGGCAUGCCCCUAACUUCCGGUGCCUAAUAAGGCACCUUCAUAUAAUCACCUUGUGGAUUAUGUGUUUUCAUGAACGCUAACAUUUUGGCAACCCGGGUGGGACCUUGUGGGCACUGCUGAGGCGGCUCAUGAGCUGAUCAUGCUCCAGCCGGCACCGAGGAGUUUCUCGGGGAGCCAUUGGCCGUGACCGACCCCCGCUGCUCACAACGUACCUCUGGAGGGCUCAACUUCGAAGUGUUCUGGUGUGGAAUCGACCAUUGUCACUGGAAAAUCCUGUCCACGAUAUUCAGCCAGGCGACUGAGUGUACAUUAAGAACUGGAACAAAGAACCCCUGAAAGAACGGUGGGCCGGACCUUAUCAAGUAUUAUUGACUACUUUUACAGCUGUAAAAGUAGAAGGGGUGGACGCUUGGAUUCAUUAUACUCGGGUGAAAAAGUUUCCCGAACUUUGGUCGGUGCGAGCAAUCGGAGAUACAAAACUACAGCUGAGGCGCGUAUAACCAUACAAUGUCGGGGUUCUUAACAACAGUAACGAUAACAGUAAUUGUUUUGUGUAAAUACCUUGUAAUUGGGUUCCUAGAAAUACCAGAAAAAUAUAAGAAAGAGGAAAUAUUUAGAGGAUAAAAUGUUACUUUGGAAUGUGGAAUGCACGACAAUAAACCAAUAACAAUUAGCUCUCUACAGGUGGUCUGGGAGAAAAUAAAUGACUCCGGACAGAGCCAGGAAAUAUACGUAAACACAACUGGGGACAAUACAGGAUUGAAGGCUGGAUGGAAGGGGAAGGCAUAUGUAAGUAAAACCCUAGAACUGGGCCAACAACUGAGAGGAGCUACCACCCUAACCCUGUUUAGUGUUACUAAUGGCAAUGAAGGAAACUACUGGUGCAUAGUAACACAUGAAAAUAGUACAGAUUAUGGGAUAAGAGAAAUAUUGGUAUGUCCGAAAUUGGAUAAAGGGAUAUUGGUAGCCCACCAAAAAGGAUCUUGAAGAAAAAGGGAGGACCAGGUACUAUGGACACAAGUGGUACAGAUCCCACACAGGCAACCAUCAGAGAAUUUACUGGUAGGAUUGAUUAAAGAUUUUGCCAUAAUGAAAGGAACUGAUAGAAUUACUGCUUGUAUGCCCAUUCCAAAAGCAGCAGGGGACCCGCUUGAGUGGGAUAUAACAACCUCCCCACAGCCCCAAGUAAAAGGAAAUAAAACAAUUCAAUGUAAAGAAGUGAAAAUUUUAGAGAGGAUAAAUGUUACGCAAUACUAUAGGAAACUGAGCCCCCCAGCAUCAAGGUCUGAAUGUGAAAAGAAGAACUACCAAUUCGUAACGAUAGGCAGAUUUAAGAAUGUAGGACGGUGUCAUUACAAUGAACUACGUAUAGUAGAAGGACCUAGAGAAAAGAUUACUUGGGAAUGCCAAGAGAAAAAUGAGCCAAAAGGAAUGAAAGGGUGGGAUAGUGCUUGGACAGUAAGUUUAUUGCAGAAAUUCCAGUAUGGAGGGAAUACAUCAUGGUGUAUUAAAUGGCAGGGAAAGCAGAAUGGAACUGAUCAGCUUUAUACAGUAAGCCGGGUUGACAGUAGUGGUAGACAAGAGUCAACAAAGGUAGCUUGGUGGACCUGUGAGAAGAAAUAUACUUGCGACAGUAAUAAUGAAGAUAUCAAGCACUUACCCCCGGUAUUGAUAGCUCUAGGGCAGGAUGUGCUUGCCGAGGAAUUAAGUACAAUUCGGAAAGAAAUAGCCAGGCAAGUCAAAUCGCAGUAGAUUGUAGCUAUAGUACCAUACAAAGUCCAGGACAAUUUGUAUGGGCAGCCAGUGAUGGAACUUGGACUACACACCUGCCAAUAGAUCGGGAAGUAAAAGAAAUAACUCUAGGGCUCCCUCCCCACACUGUGUCCAAUAUGGAAAAAGUCUCCUUUUAAGGGAAAGUUAGAAACCCUACAAAUUAGUAGAGCAAAAAGAAGUUUAGAAGAAGGGGCAGAUGAAGAUAUAUGGCAUGAACCCUCGGAUGGAGUAAAAUUCAGUUGGGCAUUAGAAUCUCUAUUUGCACAGGUAGCUACUUAUUGAAAUAGGGAAAUGAUUUAUAAACUUACAGGACAAGUGAGUAGGCUUGCGAGAGCUGCGAAAGAAGGCUUUAGAGACCUUAAUAUCCAACUACAAGCUACAACUAAAAUGGUGCUACAAAACCGAUUGGCAUUAGAUACACUGUUAUUAAAGGAACAUGGAGUAUGCGGAUUUCUAAAAGAUUGUAUUGAUCAUUGCUGCAUCCACAUUCCAAAUGUGACUGUUGAUGUAGAACAUGACAUAGAACAACUGGCUUGAGUGGA
Molecule: long non-coding RNA, 2747 nt
Organism: Cygnus olor (mute swan)
Lineage: Eukaryota; Metazoa; Chordata; Aves; Anseriformes; Anatidae
Exons: 2
Source: RefSeq, a predicted model, not a curated record